This 274-nucleotide ribosomal RNA is filed under the name uncultured bacterium. RNAcentral describes it as "partial 16S ribosomal RNA". It matches the Rfam family "Bacterial small subunit ribosomal RNA", at positions 523 to 796 of the family's 1533-position model. The record is from RNAcentral.
AUACGGAGGGUGCGAGCGUUACUCGGAGUCACUGGGCGUAAAGCGUCCGUAGGCGGUCGGGUAAGUCGGGUGUGAAAGCCCCGGGCUCAACCUGGGAAGUGCACCCGAUACUGCUCGACUCGAGUGCGGGAGAGGAUGGCGGAAUUCCCGGUGUAGCGGUGAAAUGCGUAGAGAUCAGGAGGAACACCAGUGGCGAAGGCGGCCAUCUGGCCCGCAACUGACGCUGAGGGACGAAAGCGUGGGGAGCAAACAGGAUUAGAAACCCUAGUAGUCC